CAUGUUUUAGUUAUUAAAAUUAAUUAUUUUGAUAAUAAUCUUUUACAAAAUCUGGCUUGAACUCCACCAGAUAUUACAUAUAUUGAUCGUAACAGAAAAAAAAAUCAAACAAACCAAACCAAAUGAUUAUUCACUUUUGAGAUAAAUAUUUCAUAUAUAUAUAUAUCAAGAUUAAGUAUAACUUAAUAACAUUCUAAGAUGUGUUUAUUGAAUGAGUUUUUCUUCAAAAUGAACGGAUGCAAGAAACUUUUUGAGGCGCCUAUUGUAAACACAAGGCCUUUCCAGUUGCACCAAAUGACCUGCCUUCUUUAUGCUUUCUAUUGUUGCGUUCUCACCUAAUUCUCUGGAAAUACCAACAACGACAA
Molecule: long non-coding RNA, 365 nt
Filed under: Brassica napus (rape)
Lineage: Eukaryota; Viridiplantae; Streptophyta; Magnoliopsida; Brassicales; Brassicaceae
Description: long non-coding RNA (BNAP_LNC025517)
Source: RNAcentral